UACGUAGGGGGCAAGCGUUGUCCGGAUUUAUUGGGCGUAAAGAGCGUGUAGGCGGCCUGAAAGGUCAGCUGUGAAAACUCGAGGCUCAACCUCGAGACGUCGGUUGAAACCAUCUGGCUAGAGUCCGGAAGAGGAGUGUGGAAUUCCCGGUGUAGCGGUGAAAUGCGCAGAUAUCGGGAAGAGCACCCGUGGCGAAGGCGGCUCUCUGGGACGGUACUGACGCUGAGACGCGAAAGCGUGGGGAGCGAACAGG
RNAcentral lists this ribosomal RNA (253 nucleotides) under uncultured bacterium. Its description in RNAcentral is "partial 16S ribosomal RNA". It matches the Rfam family "Bacterial small subunit ribosomal RNA", at positions 524 to 776 of the family's 1533-position model. The record is from RNAcentral.